Molecule: ribosomal RNA, 169 nt
Filed under: uncultured bacterium
Lineage: Bacteria
Description: partial 16S ribosomal RNA
Rfam family: Bacterial small subunit ribosomal RNA
Source: RNAcentral
CCUACGGGAGGCAGCAGUGGGGAAUAUUGGACGAUGGGCGCAAGCCUGAUCCAGCCAUGCCGCGUGAGUGAUGAAGGUCUUAGGAUUGUAAAGCUCUUCCACCGGUGAAGAUAAUGACGGUAACCGGAGAAGAAGCCCCGGCUAACUUCGUGCCAGCAGCCGCGGUAAU